Molecule: long non-coding RNA, 1209 nt
Filed under: Capra hircus (goat)
Lineage: Eukaryota; Metazoa; Chordata; Mammalia; Artiodactyla; Bovidae
Description: lncRNA (ENSCHIG00010012548.1)
Source: RNAcentral
AAAUUGCUUAAAGAUGAUGAGGACCAACAGUUGCACUUCAGAAAUGGGAAAAAAGAGGCUCAGAGAGAUUAAGUGACUUCUCCAAGGUCGCACAGCAAUACACUUCAGAACCAGAGAAAAAUCCAGGAUUUCUGGCCCCUGCUUCAGUGCUGUUUCUAACUGUAUGUAUGAUGACUACACUUUCUGGACUUACCAGGGGCCAGGGGUGCGCCUCCGCUGAUCUUGGAACUGGGACGACCGAGGGGAGGCAGUUUCCUGCUUUCUCUGGGCUGCAGGUUUUUAAUGUCUUCUUUGUUGGUUUGGGGCCCUGGAGACUGUGCUGAGGGGAGAGUCUUUCAGUUUCUCCCUCAAGCUACCAAAGGACACUCACACCCUGGGUCUCCAUUUUGAGUCGUACAGUCGCUUCAUUUCCACUCAGCUGGCAGGUUCCGUUUCUUUUCUCUUAAGAGGUUUCCUAGCACCUCUGUGGUCCAAACCCACUGACAGCUUUUCCUGUCUUGGGAAGUAUUAAAGCUGGCGAUAGGCCACUGCCCCUGGGAAAAACUUGUAAAGGCACUUCAUCUAGGAAGAAGCAUAAACCAUUUCCAGGUCUGGAAGGUGCAAGUGGGUUAAGGGAAGCCUGUUCAUUGUAUUCCAAGGGGUGGUUCCCGGACCAGGGAUUGAACCCAGGCCUCUGCAGUGAAAGCACCAAAUCCUAACCACUAGGCCCCCAGGGAACUCUGGGGAGCCUCUUCUUUGAUUUGCCGGCUUGGAGCUCUGGCUCAGCCUGCUCAUCACCAUGGAAUGAAGGCCUCAUCCAUCUUCCAGCUUUCAGAAGAGGACGUGCCUGAGGGGAACUGGGGAGCCUCCCAACAGAUCAGGGUUCCCGUGGGCAGGUAGCCCCAGCGAGCUCUCCCUCCAGCUGCUGCAGCCCAACUGCUGAUCUGCACAAUUAGCCCCUUAUUGUAAAUGGUCAAGUUCCCCACUGUCUGCACUGCAUAAGUAAACGCUUACUAGAUCAGCAUAAAUGCAGUGGUAUAGAAUACUAUCUCAUUCUCCAUCUCAUGGGUGUGUCUUGUCUCCCCCAACUAAAUUGGGCAGGAAUCUGGUCUGAGUUUUCUUCUGUCUCCUGGCAUCCGGCAUUGCGCUGGUCACAACAGGAAUCUUGUAACCUCUGUCUGCCUUGAUGAUCCACCUCCUGGAAGUUUGACUCUCCAACACCAGGUCUGU